This 497-nucleotide ribosomal RNA is filed under the name uncultured bacterium. RNAcentral describes it as "partial 16S ribosomal RNA". It matches the Rfam family "Bacterial small subunit ribosomal RNA", at positions 28 to 507 of the family's 1533-position model. The record is from RNAcentral.
GAUGAACGCUGGCGGCGUGCCUAAUACAUGCAAGUCGAGCGAACAGAUGAGGAGCUUGCUCCUCUGACGUUAGCGGCGGACGGGUGAGUAACACGUGGAUAACCUACCUAUAAGACUGGGAUAACUUAGGGAAACCGGAGCUAAUACCGGAUAAUAUAUUGAACCGCAUGGUUCAAUAGUGAAAGACGGUUUUGCUGUCACUUAUAGAUGGAUCCGCGCCGCAUUAGCUAGUUGGUAAGGUAACGGCUUACCAAGGCAACGAUGCGUAGCCGACCUGAGAGGGUGAUCGGCCACACUGGAACUGAGACACGGUCCAGACUCCUACGGGAGGCAGCAGUAGGGAAUCUUCCGCAAUGGGCGAAAGCCUGACGGAGCAACGCCGCGUGAGUGAUGAAGGUCUUCGGAUCGUAAAACUCUGUUAUUAGGGAAGAACAAAUGUGUAAGUAACUAUGCACGUCUUGACGGUACCUAAUCAGAAAGCCACGGCUAACUACGUG